This 499-nucleotide ribosomal RNA is filed under the name uncultured bacterium. RNAcentral's name for it is "partial 16S ribosomal RNA". It matches the Rfam family "Bacterial small subunit ribosomal RNA", at positions 28 to 507 of the family's 1533-position model. The record is from RNAcentral.
GAUGAACGCUGGCGGCGUGCCUAAUACAUGCAAGUCGAGCGAACAGACGAGAGUGCUUGCACUCUCUGACGUUAGCGGCGGACGGGUGAGGAACACGUGGGUAACCUACCUAUAAGACUGGGAUAACUUCGGGAAACCGGAGCUAAUACCGGAUAAUAUUUAGCUUCGCAUGAAGCAAUAGUGAAAGACGGUUCUGCUGUCACUUAUAGAUGGACCCGCGGUGUAUUAGCUAGUUGGUGAGGUAACGGCUCACCAAGGCAACGAUACAUAGCCGACCUGAGAGGGUGAUCGGCCACACUGGGACUGAGACACGGCCCAGACUCCUACGGGAGGCAGCAGUAGGGAAUCUUCCGCAAAGGACGAAAGUCUGACGGAGCAAUGCCGCGUGAGUGAAGAAGGUUUUCGGAUCGUAAAACUCUGUUGUAAGGGAAGAACAAGUACGUUAGUAACUGAACGUACCUUGACGGUACCUUACCAGAAAGCCACGGCUAACUACGUG